AAUUGCUUAAAAUGGAAUACAAAAAGGUUCACCCAAAUAUGGUGAUUGUUUCAGAGGCUAUGAUAUUAUCGUUUGAAAUGAGGCGUAAUGAUAUGUUGACUAAUGUAAGGCCAGUGGAGCAACUUCUGGAUGAGUAUCCAUUUUUGAGUAACAAGGAUGAGCUUCUAGCUGAAUUUUGUCGAAUUUUACACAAGCCACAAUUAAUUCAGACAUAUACAUGUAGCUGGACUGAAAAGUGGAUCAAGAGAAUGGUGUGUGUCUGUUGCAGUAAUUUGCAUGGUGCAGAACAGGAGAAAGCCAAAGAACUUUCCUUGUUAUGUGAAACCC
Long non-coding RNA from Amphimedon queenslandica, 327 nucleotides. RefSeq lists it as uncharacterized. The transcript is spliced from 3 exons. NCBI's taxonomy places the organism in Eukaryota, Metazoa, Porifera, Demospongiae, Haplosclerida, Niphatidae. The record is from RefSeq and is a predicted model, not a curated record.